AGUGGGGUCCAUGAAUGUGUGAUGCUAACAAUUUCCAAGAAGUGCCUCUGUCUAUGCCGGCCGCUUCCAAGUAACUGCAGAAUGUCACAGAAAACACGUCUAUGAUCCUGUGUGUACUCAACACCGACAAUCCAGAAUGGGGAAAUGGCUCAGAUUCCAGCACGACGUGCUUGAUUCUCAAUGCAAAAUACAAAAUCUUGGUGUUCAAUGUCCGCCAUCUGGCCUGGAAAAGCCAGAUAUACAAAUACCUCUUGUACAACGGGAUAAGUGAAAAAAGAGUCUGGCCACAGACUGGUUGAAUAAGCUGCAAAUAAAUGAUAACAUUUGAGCACUAGCUAAAAAGAGCAGUGAGAGGAC
Molecule: long non-coding RNA, 357 nt
Filed under: Equus caballus (horse)
Lineage: Eukaryota; Metazoa; Chordata; Mammalia; Perissodactyla; Equidae
Description: lncRNA (ENSECAG00000047968.1)
Source: RNAcentral